CGGAACGGGUGAGUAAUGCGUGACCAACCUGCCCAUGCUCCAGAAUAGCUCUUGGAAACGGGUGGUAAUGCUGGAUGCUCCAACUUGACGCAUGUCUUGUUGGGAAAGUGUUUAGUGGCAUGGGAUGGGGUCGCGUCCUAUCAGCUUGUAGGCGGGGUAAUGGCCCACCUAGGCUUCGACGGGUAGCCGGCCUGAGAGGGCGGACGGCCACAUUGGGACUGAGAUACGGCCCAGACUCCUACGGGAGGCAGCAGAA
This 256-nucleotide ribosomal RNA is filed under the name uncultured Gardnerella sp. RNAcentral describes it as "partial 16S ribosomal RNA". It matches the Rfam family "Bacterial small subunit ribosomal RNA", at positions 98 to 354 of the family's 1533-position model. The record is from RNAcentral. Lineage: Bacteria; Bacillati; Actinomycetota; Actinomycetes; Bifidobacteriales; Bifidobacteriaceae.